CCUUUGAUUUUUUUUUCACCGGACCUCUCCCCUUACCCUCCGCGCGAACCCACCCUAUCCUCCGCACCAUCCCCGCGCGUGAUUGAUCAAUGUCAUCAAUCAAUCAAAAUUGGAAUCAAGCAGCUGCCACCUUCCAUUUGAUCGCUCCCCCUGUCCUCCUCCAAGCAGGAUCAUGAGGCGCUCUGGGAAAAUCCGCGUAGAAGUUCCACCCUUGAGAGGCCGGGCGGCCGGCCCCUGCUCGGCAGAGGCGGCGAUAUCCCCGACAGAGGCAGGCACAAUGGCCCGUGGCCGUUCCGGCGCCGCUCCAGUCUCCGCCCCAGCCCGCCAUGCCUCAAUCCGCGACGGCUUGCCUUCCCCAUCCCGCGGCCGUUCCGACGCCGCGCCAGUCUCCGCCCCGAACCCGCCAGCUGUUAGUUACUACGCUGUGCUGCUCCGCUGCGCACGGCCUUCGGGAGGUCUGACGUGCGCUGUUGCCACGCCCGACGUGAGUGGUUGGCCGGGAUCCCUGCGAAGCAUGCGCCCAGGAGGAAGAGCCGAAGAGGGGGACGGAGCUGGUGUGCAACGGAUCGCCACCGCAGCUCGAAAGGCACUGCCGCCAGGCCGCGCCGCUCCGUAGCGCACGACCUCCAAGUGGUCAGAGGACGAGCUCCAGGAGGGGGCGGGCGCGACCGACCGGCACCCCGCGACAACACCGUGGACACGCCGAUGUGCAGGCGCCUCGACGGGUUCGAGGCUGCCGAUGCCGAGGUAUUGGGCGGCGGCGCCUUCUCGCGGGGGUGCCGGCGGAAGGAAGCGCUGUGGUGAGCGGCUUCUUGCCUUUGCCGGGGAAGAAGUGGCCAGACAAGUUUCUGCUCGUCGCGAAUCGCUCGAGGAGUGCGCUGUGGAGUGCACCACCAGGACGGCGAGGGACAAGACGAGGUGCUAGCUUGGUGUGGGCCGGCAACCUGAUCGAUACCGAGAAGAUUGGUGGCGUGGUCGGCAGCAACACGCUGUACCUCCGGCUUGCAGGCUUGGAUCACUAACCAUUUCGUCUUCUGCAUUUAGAGUGGAUUAUUUGUGUGCUAUACAUGUAUGGAUACAACUUUAUACAUGUUUUUGCAUAGGUCUCAGAAGACAGAGCAAUGCAGUGAGGCCAUUGCUGCGCCUACAGUCUUGACGAGUGCCAUUCUGAUAAUCAUAGGAAUUAUCCUUGCCUGGUUUAAAUUCAAAGGUACAGACUAUAAAUUUGUACAUCGUCAGAGUGGAAUUGGUUACUGAAAUUUGGGUGCAGGUAAAAGAAGAAACAAUAAUAAAGGUAACACUAAGAUAAGUCCGGUCUCUACGAGUAAGUCUGACAAACUCCCUGAAGGAAGCCCUGCUGAAGACUUCGAACUUCCUUUCACCAAAUUCGAGGAUAUUGAGGCUGCAACACACAAUUCCUCAUAAGCGUAUAAGAUUGGACAAGGAGGCUUUGGUAAAGUUUAUAAGGCAAUUCUAGGUGGUCAGGAAGUUGCUAUCAAAAGGCUAACUAAGGAUUCAGAGCAAGGAACUGAGGAAUUCAGGAAUGAAGUUAUUCUAUUGCAACAUAAAAAUUUGAUUCAACUACAUGGUUGUGUCGAGGGAGGUGAAAAGAUCAUGAUAUAUGAGUAUUUGCCUAAUAGAAACUUAGAUGCUAUGCUUUUCGAUAGCUCAAGAAAAAUAUCGUUAGAUUGGCCAAAUCGAUUUAACAUAAUAAAGGGAGUUGCAAGUGGACUUCUUUACCUCCACCAAGAUUCAAGCUUGGCCAUAGUUCAUAGAGAUCUCAAAACUGCAAUGUUUUGCUAGACGUGGAGAUGAGACCUAAGAUAGCAGACUUUGACAUGGCAAGGAUCUUCGAUGGUAACCAGAAAAAUGCAAACACACGGCGUGUCGUCGUAACAUAGUGAGUAUAUGAUUGAAUUAAGUGCUCAAAUUAAUAUGGUUAAAUUCAACGUUUUUGCAAUAACUUUUGGAAGUGAAUUUCGAAAAUAGUGUGGACAUAGUUCCUGAAUACGCAAUGUAAGGAGUCUUCUCAAUGA
Panicum virgatum (switchgrass) is the source of this 2036-nucleotide long non-coding RNA. RefSeq lists it as uncharacterized. The record is from RefSeq and is a predicted model, not a curated record. Lineage: Eukaryota; Viridiplantae; Streptophyta; Magnoliopsida; Poales; Poaceae. The transcript is spliced from 3 exons.